CUCAAUGAUAUUUCAAUAGCCGCAAUAUUAUUGUGCUAAGGUAGCAUAAUCAUUUGUUUUUUAAUUAAAAACUAGAAUAAAAGAUUUAACAUUUUUAUUUCUAUCUCAUAUAUAUAUUUAUUUAAUUUAUCUUAAAUAUAAAAAGAUAUUUAUAUAAUAAAAAGACGACAAGACCCUAUUGAACUUAACUAAAGUUAAACUGGGGCAGUUAAUCAAAUAAAAUUUUAAUUUCAACUCUAAAAAUAUCUAAUACAAUUAAAUUUAUCAAGUUACCAUAGGGAUAACAGCGUAAUAAUUUUCUAUAGUUCUUAUUUAAAAAAUAAUUUGCGACCUCGAUGUUGAAUUAAUAAUCUAUUAAAUGCAAUAAUUAAAAAGAAAGUC
This 381-nucleotide ribosomal RNA is filed under the name Coelotes lamellatus. RNAcentral's name for it is "partial 16S ribosomal RNA". The record is from RNAcentral. Lineage: Eukaryota; Metazoa; Arthropoda; Arachnida; Araneae; Agelenidae.